RNAcentral lists this transfer-messenger RNA (345 nucleotides) under human gut metagenome. It matches the Rfam family "transfer-messenger RNA". From Rfam's summary of the family: Bacterial tmRNA, also known as 10Sa RNA or SsrA, is named for its dual tRNA and mRNA-like properties. Its role is to liberate the mRNA from a stalled ribosome. To accomplish this part of the tmRNA is used as a reading frame that ends in a translation stop signal. The record is from RNAcentral.
GGGGUUGUACUGGUUUCGACGGGGAUUUUGAAGUUGGGGAAGCCAUCCGCGGGCCGGGACCGCGCAGUAAACCGGAACUUAAAAUUAAACGCAAACGAUAAUUACGCGUUAGCAGCGUAAUGCUGCUCGUCGGCCUCGGGCUGCUCACCACCUGAGUCACCGGCGUCAAAUCGGUGAGGCACUUUUUUCCCAAAGCUUUGCGGGAUAAAAAGAACCUAUGAAGCUACUAAAGUCAGCAGCCUGUCAUUUGGCGUCUGAUGGAGGGAAUGUCAAAGAAAUGACUGUGAUGGGAGAUGCCGCAAUGGAGAGGUUUUCGGACAGGGGUUCGAUUCCCCUCAGCUCCAU